GCUUGUCUCAAAGAUUAAGCCAUGCAUGUCUAAGUAUAAGCAACUUUGUACUGUGAAACUGCGAACGGCUCAUUAAAUCAGUUAUAGUUUAUUUGAUGGUUUUUGCUACAUGGAUAACUGUGGUAAUUCUAGAGCUAAUACAUGCAUUCAAGCCCCGACUUCUGGAAGGGGUGUAUUUAUUAGAUAAAAAUCAACUUUGUUGGUGAAUCAUAAUAACUUCUCGGACCGCAUGGCCUCGUGCUGGCGGUGCUUCAUUCAAAUAUCUGCCCUAUCAACUGUCGAUGGUAGGAUAGAGGCCUACCAUGGUUGCAACGGGUAACGGGGAAUAAGGGUUCGAUUCCGGAGAGGGAGCCUGAGAAACGGCUACCACAUCCAAGGAAGGCAGCAGGC
RNAcentral lists this ribosomal RNA (390 nucleotides) under uncultured fungus. Its description in RNAcentral is "SSU rRNA". It matches the Rfam family "Eukaryotic small subunit ribosomal RNA", at positions 30 to 433 of the family's 1831-position model. The record is from RNAcentral. Lineage: Eukaryota; Fungi.